Molecule: long non-coding RNA, 473 nt
Filed under: Ananas comosus (pineapple)
Lineage: Eukaryota; Viridiplantae; Streptophyta; Magnoliopsida; Poales; Bromeliaceae
Description: long non-coding RNA (ACOM_LNC015493)
Source: RNAcentral
CUGUUGAUAGUAUAUAAAUAGUUUUUAUUAUCUUUUUUUUUACUAUUAUUAGGUUAUUACUAUUCUAUCUACCACCACUAAACUCUAUAAGUAUUUAAUGAUAAAAAUAUAGUAAACAUUAUUUCUAUAUUGUCAAUAGUAUUCUAGCUUUACUAUAUAUAUAUAUAUAUAUAUAUAGUCCAGCUAUGGUUCUUGUAAAAACACCAAGCACUAUAUAUAUAUAUAGUCCAGCUAUGGUUCUUGUAAAAACACCAAGCACUUGGUACUUAUAAGUUUUUUAUCCUUAGAUCUAUUCCUCGGAUCAUUUUCAACCAUUAAAUUAUACUAUUCAAUCAACCACCCACUCAACCCUAGGGUGCCCACAUCAUCCUAACCGUAUAUCUCUUAAUUCAAUGGCUAAAAAUCUACAAGCACUAAUAACUUGGUACUUUUAAAAGCAUAGGAGCUCAAUUAUAUAUAUAUAUAUAUAUAUA